UAUUCUGCCCUACAGGGAAGGAUGAGAAGCUUCGACUAAGGUUCGACUCGAGCGAAGCGAGAGAACGUUGCCGCAGGCAACGGCCCGAAGGGCGAGGCGCAUUAGCGCCGAGUAAUCCUUCCCCCACCACUG
Molecule: small RNA, 132 nt
Filed under: Klebsiella pneumoniae
Lineage: Bacteria; Pseudomonadati; Pseudomonadota; Gammaproteobacteria; Enterobacterales; Enterobacteriaceae
Description: RtT sRNA
Rfam family: RtT RNA
About the family: This family represents a bacterial cis-regulatory element known as RtT RNA.
Source: RNAcentral